RNAcentral lists this long non-coding RNA (1385 nucleotides) under Gadus morhua (Atlantic cod). RNAcentral describes it as "lncRNA (ENSGMOG00000024889.1)". The record is from RNAcentral. Lineage: Eukaryota; Metazoa; Chordata; Actinopteri; Gadiformes; Gadidae.
GGAACAUUCAGAAGGACCUGAUGCCGCCGUCCCACUUCACCUCCGCCGUCCAGACGUCCUCGUCCGUCCGCCGGGUCCAGACCUCCGCGUCUGUCCGCGGGGUCCACAACCAGCCGGCCGCGGAGUCCUGGAGCUCCGCCGCCGGUCCCGGGGUCUCAAAUCCGGCCGCGGCGUGGCUCGCCGUGUCCCGGGCCCAGGGGGAAGUUCUGGAACUCCGGAAGGAGAACCAAAGGCUGAUGAUGCUACAGGGAGACUCUUUGAGAGGAAGGAGCCGGUCUACAGACUCCAAUGGAAGGUAGCCAUCACAAUAAUCCGGUUAUUAGCUAGGUUAGAACGAUUGUUAUCACUAUGACGUUUGUCUUGGUGCGCACCUACGAUAAAAUGAACACACACACACACACACACACACACACACACACACACACACACACACACACACACACACACACACACACACACACACACACACACACACACACACCAGAGAGAAUGGUUCACCACUGAACAUUACGAAACCCCUCUAAACAUUGAACUCAACAUAUUAGAUCCUGGGUUAAUGGUAUAAUAAUGGUGCAGUGUUAGCAACUGGGAAAUAAGAACGUGUUACUCAUUCAUUAAACAUUUACACCAGUAGGCCUACAUUUAAACUGGUUUCCCUCCCCCAGGUUUGUGGAGGGCGGAGGUGGUGGAGGUGGGGGAGGUGAGGGGUGGAUGAGGCUGGAGGCGGAGUGGCGUGUGCGGGUGGAGACGCAGCGGGUGGAGGCGGAGAGGCUCCGGGGUCAGCUGGAGGCCCUGAAGGAGAGCGAGGAGAGACAGCGGGGCGAGCUACGAGACAAGGACAGCACCCUCCACAGACAGGGUGCUGAGCUGGAGACCCUACGCUGUGAACUGGGUCAGACCCGGUCCAGGCUGGACCAGGUCAGACUGGAGCUCCAGCAGAGCCUCCAGGAGAACCAGAAGAUAUCCUCACAGCUGGUAACCAUGGAGAAGGAGUCAGAGGAGGAGAUCAGGAGGCUGAGGAAGGAGGAGGCGUGGUGCCGAGAGGAGGCGCACACGCUCCUCCGGGGGGCUGAGAGGAGCAGGGAGGAGGAGGAGGAGGAGGCGAAGAGGAGGAACAUCGACCUGACCACCCAGAUGGAGAAUCUACAGAAAACCCACCAGACAGAGGUCUGUCUGUCUGGUUUAGGCAGAGCAAGUAUUUUCAUAGGCCAAGUUCGUUUGAGGGCGGAGUCAGAAUGUUUAUGGGUGGGUCUUGGGAAGUCAUGGUCUUGAAUAUUCCGUGAGGGCGGAGCCAUGAUGUUAGUGGGCGGAGCCAUGUGGUUAGUGGGCGGAGCCAUGCGGUUAGUGGGCGGAGCCACAGUGGUUGUGGGCGUUGCCCUUCACCG